RNAcentral lists this transfer RNA (76 nucleotides) under Gammaproteobacteria bacterium. RNAcentral describes it as "tRNA-Phe". The record is from RNAcentral. Lineage: Bacteria; Pseudomonadati; Pseudomonadota; Gammaproteobacteria.
GGCGAGGGUUGAGGGGGAAUAGGCGCGCGGACUGAAACUCCGCGUGACGGUGGUUCAACGCCGCCCCUGGUCACCA